GUCGAACGGUAGCACAGAGAGCUUGCUCUCGGGUGACGAGUGGCGGACGGGUGAGUAAUGUCUGGGAAACUGCCUGAUGGAGGGGGAUAACUACUGGAAACGGUAGCUAAUACCGCAUAACGUCGCAAGACCAAAGAGGGGGACCUUCGGGCCUCUUGCCAUCAGAUGUGCCCAGAUGGGAUUAGCUAGUAGGUGGGGUAACGGCUCACCUAGGCGACGAUCCCUAGCUGGUCUGAGAGGAUGACCAGCCACACUGGAACUGAGACACGGUCCAGACUCCUACGGGAGGCAGCAGUGGGGAAUAUUGCACAAUGGGCGCAAGCCUGAUGCAGCCAUGCCGCGUGUAUGAAGAAGGCCUUCGGGUUGUAAAGUACUUUCAGCGGGGAGGAAGGUGUUGUGGUUAAUAACCACAGCAAUUGACGUUACCCGCAGAAGAAGCACCGGCUAACUCCGUGCCAGCAGCCGCGGUAAUACGGAGGGUGCAAGCGUUAAUCGGAAUUACUGGGCGUAAAGCGCACGCAGGCGGUCUGUCAAGUCGGAUGUGAAAUCCCCGGGCUCAACCUGGGAACUGC
This 572-nucleotide ribosomal RNA is filed under the name Enterobacter sp. G2W15(B). Its description in RNAcentral is "bacterial SSU rRNA". It matches the Rfam family "Bacterial small subunit ribosomal RNA", at positions 61 to 624 of the family's 1533-position model. The record is from RNAcentral. Lineage: Bacteria; Pseudomonadati; Pseudomonadota; Gammaproteobacteria; Enterobacterales; Enterobacteriaceae.